GACGAACGCUGGCGGCGUGCUUAACACAUGCAAGUCGAACGGUAAGGCCCUUCGGGGUACACGAGUGGCGAACGGGUGAGUAACACGUGGGUGAUCUGCCCUGCACUUCGGGAUAAGCCUGGGAAACUGGGUCUAAUACCGGAUAGGACCACUGCCUGCAUGGGUGGUGGUGGAAAGCUUUUGCGGUGUGGGAUGGGCCCGCGGCCUAUCAGCUUGUUGGUGGGGUGAUGGCCUACCAAGGCGACGACGGGUAGCCGGCCUGGGAGGGUGACCGGCCACACUGGGACUGUGAUACGGCCCAGACUCCUACGGGAGGGAGCAGUGGGGAAUAUUGCACAAUGGGCGAAAGCCUGAUGCAGCGACGCCGCGUGAGGGAUGACGGCCUUCGGGUUGUAAACCUCUUUCAGCACCGACGAAGCGCAAGUGACGGUAGGUGCAGAAGAAGGACCGGCCAACUACGUGCCAGCCGCCGCCGUAA
Molecule: ribosomal RNA, 478 nt
Filed under: uncultured bacterium
Lineage: Bacteria
Description: partial 16S ribosomal RNA
Rfam family: Bacterial small subunit ribosomal RNA
Source: RNAcentral